UACAGAGGGGGCCAGCGUUAUUCGGAAUUAUUGGGCGUAAAGGGCGCGUAGGCGGCCAUGCGUGUCUUCCGUGAAAUCCCUCGGCUUAACCGAGGACGUGCGGAAGAAACUGCAAGGCUCGAGUCCGGAAGAGGGGGGCGGAAUUCCCAGUGUAGCGGUGAAAUGCGUAGAUAUUGGGAGGAACACCAGUGGCGAAGGCGGUCCCCUGGGCCGGAACUGACGCUGAGGCGCGACAGCGUGGGGAGCAAACAGG
This 253-nucleotide ribosomal RNA is filed under the name uncultured bacterium. Its description in RNAcentral is "partial 16S ribosomal RNA". It matches the Rfam family "Bacterial small subunit ribosomal RNA", at positions 524 to 776 of the family's 1533-position model. The record is from RNAcentral.